RNAcentral lists this long non-coding RNA (140 nucleotides) under Chinchilla lanigera (long-tailed chinchilla). RNAcentral's name for it is "lncRNA (ENSCLAG00000026336.1)". Lineage: Eukaryota; Metazoa; Chordata; Mammalia; Rodentia; Chinchillidae. The record is from RNAcentral.
CUCAUGGCAAGAUUGUCUACUUCUCAGGUCUUGAUUUCUGAAAAAUGAGGGCAAAGAGCAACCUACUGGGAAGAAGUAAGACUCUAACAAAGAAAGAGGCCAGCCUUUAUGACCUACUCAAGAGACCUGAACACUGUCAU